AUGGGUCGGCAGAAAAUUUGGAGGGAUAGGAUCGAUGCCCACAACAGAUUGAUCAGGCAUUAUUUUGCGGAGAAUCCCAUAUACCCCGAGUCGUAUUUUCGUCGCCGGUUUAGGAUGAGCACCGAGUUGUUCAGGCGCAUUGCAGAGAAACUAGCGAGCCAUGACCGUUUUUUUUCACAAAGGAGGAAUGUCGCCGGAGAGCUCGGGCAUAGCACCUUUCAGAAGGUGACAGCCGCUUUGCGUAUGUUGGCAUACGGUAUACCGGCUGAUCUUGUUGAUGAUCACUUGGCUAUGGAUGAGAGCCAAGCCAUCAUGUGUGUCAAACGCUUUGCAGUGGGAAUUGUGCAAGUGUUUGGCGAGGAGUAUUUGAGAUCUCCUAAUGGACAAAGCUCGCGGUUUUCCUGGCAUGCUUGGCUCAAUAGAUUGCAUGCAUUGGAGUUGGAAGAAUUGUCCAAAGGCAUGGCAUGGGCAAUUCCACGGCCAAAAAAAGGGUUCCACUAUAAUCCUUGA
This 510-nucleotide ribosomal RNA is filed under the name Triticum aestivum (bread wheat). RNAcentral describes it as "partial small subunit ribosomal RNA". Lineage: Eukaryota; Viridiplantae; Streptophyta; Magnoliopsida; Poales; Poaceae. The record is from RNAcentral.